AGAUUUAGGGAUAUGUUCACAUCUCCCUCUUGAACUUUUUUAUUUAAGAAUCAAAAAAUGCUAACUGAGCUCCUAUCUGUCCCACCCCACUUCAUCCUGCUGCCCCUGAGACCCUGGACAUAGCAGUGGAAUGGACUCUUAGAUCUGCUGGCUUCUGUAAGCAAGGAUGCUUGAGAGCAUCAUGCCACCCAAGGUAUGACAAUAUGACAACUGGGAAUUAAAGAUGUCUUGGAGGCUGACCACUGGUUACCUAAUUUACGAGAGAUGUGUAAAACACAGACUGACCUACCACAGAAAAGGCCAGAAGCACAGCUGAGAAGAUCUGGGCACAAGUCUACAGAUAGAAAUUUCUCUGCUAUGGAUCUCAGUGAAACAACAAAAUGCCCCUACCAAAAGUUGCUCCCUGUGGGGAAUGAAAUUAGAUGAGACCUGGAGAGUGGAAAACAAAUUGAAUUCAUUUAACCAAACUGCUAUCUGACCAUUAAGGUUCAUCUCAAAACACAAGCACAAGAUCCCAGGCAAGGCAGUGUCAACAAGAUGAAUUAUGCUCUCAGUGUGCACGGCAGAGCAUGGCAUUGACUGUGCGAUCCCGGGGAGGUGGCCAGUGAGUCAACUUCUUUUUUGAGCUAUCUUGGUCUCUAUGUUGCAUUUAAAAAAAAAAUGGUUGUCUGUGUCUAAACAGUUCUAUUCAUCUCUGUAUUUUUUAUUGUGCAAUUGCAUGAUUAGAAUAAUAAAUCUUUUGGUGGAG
This 748-nucleotide long non-coding RNA is filed under the name Fukomys damarensis (Damara mole-rat). RNAcentral describes it as "lncRNA (ENSFDAG00000021832.1)". Lineage: Eukaryota; Metazoa; Chordata; Mammalia; Rodentia; Bathyergidae. The record is from RNAcentral.